AGUGAACGCUGGCGGUAGGCCUAACACAUGCAAGUCGAACGGCAGCACAGUAAGAGCUUGCUCUUACGGGUGGCGAGUGGCGGACGGGUGAGGAAUACAUCGGAAUCUACUUUUUCGUGGGGGAUAACGUAGGGAAACUUACGCUAAUACCGCAUACGACCUACGGGUGAAAGCAGGGGAUCUUCGGACCUUGCGCGAUUGAAUGAGCCGAUGUCGGAUUAGCUAGUUGGCGGGGUAAAGGCCCACCAAGGCGACGAUCCGUAGCUGGUCUGAGAGGAUGAUCAGCCACACUGGAGCUGGGACACGGUCCAGACUCCUACGGGAGGCAGCAGUGGGGAAUAUUGGACAAUGGGCGCAAGCCUGGUCCAGCCAUACCGCGUGGGUGAAGAAGGCGUUCGGGUUGUAAAGCCCUUUUGUUGGGAAAGAAAAGCAGCAGGUUAAUACCCCGCUGUUCUGACGGUACCCAAAGAAUAAGCACCGGCUAACUUCGUG
Molecule: ribosomal RNA, 492 nt
Filed under: uncultured bacterium
Lineage: Bacteria
Description: partial 16S ribosomal RNA
Rfam family: Bacterial small subunit ribosomal RNA
Source: RNAcentral